This 775-nucleotide long non-coding RNA is filed under the name Sus scrofa (pig). RNAcentral's name for it is "lncRNA (ENSSSCG00015068753.1)". Lineage: Eukaryota; Metazoa; Chordata; Mammalia; Artiodactyla; Suidae. The record is from RNAcentral.
GUGAGCCAUGGAUAGGGACAACCUGAGUCCUAGGGACGCCACUUAGGAGCCUGGCCUGGCACAACUGCCACCCAUAUGGACCAGGUCCUGUUUGGAUGAGGCUGUUGUCAACAAGGCUAUAGGACACUCAUCAUGAGAACAAUUUUUCGUGUGUUUCGGGCGGUCUCCCAGACCAAAUCUCAGUCAAAGCCUGGGGCACCUUUAAGGCUCUUGCUCCAUGUUGUUCAACAACCUCAGGAAAGGCUGCAUUAUUCAUGCCAUGGAAGGAUGAAGGCUCCCGCUUUGCCAACAGACAGAGACAAGGCUGUGGAGUGAUCGGAGAGUUGCUCACAUUAUCUUCCACCCCAUACCUGCUGGUGGUGAUUAAAGGAAGAUAAAAGUGGGACUGCCCAGUGCUUACACGCUGCAGAUACAGCUCCCAUCUGACAUUUGCGGUGUGGACAUCAUCCCAGCCCAGGGCAGGAGCCGGCCAGCUGGAGCAUGUGUUGGAUUCUCUGCCUGAGCCUCACCCUCUGCAUAGAGGUGCAGGCCACUCUGGGUGAUGGUCUGGUUCCCAGGAGGUGCCUUUCUCGUGGGCUCCGCUUCCAUGUGCGAUGGCUCGGAAUUUUUCGCCUGAGAAAAAGUGGUGCUCCGGGAGUUCCCGUCGUGGCACAGUGGUUAACGAAUCCGACUAGGAACCAUGAGGUUGCGGGUUCGGUCCCUGCCCUUGCUCAGUGGGUUAACGAUCCGGCGUUGCCGUGAGCUGUGGUGUAGGUUGCAGACGCGGCUCGGAUCC